CCUUGGCGGGUAAGUUCCGACCCGCACGAAAGGCGUAACGAUUUUGGCACUGUCUCAACAACAGACUCGGUGAAAGUGUAAUUCCGGUGAAGAUGCCGGAUACCUGCGACAGGACGGAAAGAACCCAUGGAGCUUUACUGUAGCUUGACAUUGGGUCAUGGUACUACAUGUACAGGGUAGGUGGGAGGCUUUGAAACCAGGCCGCCAGUUUAGGCGGAGCCAUCCUUGGGAUAACACCAUUGUAGUACUGAGACUCUUACCAGAAGCGAUGAAACUGGACUUGGUAUACUGGCGGGUGGACAGUGUGACUGGGGCGAUCGCGUACCACACGGGUAAGGCGGCGCUCACAGUUUCUCCCUGUACGGUCGGACCUCGUACGUCUAGUGUCAAGGCAACAUGAGACUACAAUUACAGACAGACCAGUAGCGCACGGAUGCACAUC
Molecule: ribosomal RNA, 442 nt
Filed under: Clostridioides difficile
Lineage: Bacteria; Bacillati; Bacillota; Clostridia; Peptostreptococcales; Peptostreptococcaceae
Description: bacterial LSU rRNA
Rfam family: Bacterial large subunit ribosomal RNA
Source: RNAcentral